RNAcentral lists this non-coding RNA (29 nucleotides) under Homo sapiens (human). The record is from RNAcentral. Lineage: Eukaryota; Metazoa; Chordata; Mammalia; Primates; Hominidae.
UACAGUCCUAUACGAUCAUCUGAAGGUCC